UUCCGGUUGAUCCCGCCGGAGGUCACUGCUAUUGGGAUUCGAUUAAGCCAUGCGAGUCGAGAGGGUUCGGCCCUCGGCUGACGGCUCAGUAACACGUGGAUAAUCUGCCCUUAGGUGGAGGAUAAUCUCGGGAAACUGAGGACAAUACUCCAUAGGUUUAGGAGGCUGGAAUACAUCUAGACUGAAAGCUCCGGCGCCUAAGGAUGAGUCUGCGGACUAUCAGGUAGUAGUCAGGGUAAAGACCUGACUAGCCUACGACGGAUACGGGUUGUGAGAGCAAUAACCCGGAGACGAUAUCUGAGACACGAUAUCGGGCCCUACGGGGCGCAGCAGGCGCGAAAACUUCACACUGUGCGAAAGCACGAUGAGGGAAUCCCAAGUGCUUGCUCGUAAGAGUAAGCUGUUUUUCUGUCUAAAACGCAGAGAGAGUAAGAGCUGGGUAAGACGGGUGCCAGCCGCCGCGGUAAUACCUGCAGCUCAAGUGGUGGCCGCUAUUAUUGGGCCUAAAACGUCCGUAGCCGGUUUAGUAAAUGCCUGGGUAAAUCGUGUAGCUUAACUAUACGAAUUCCGGGUAGACUGCUAAACUUGAGACCGGGAGAAGCCAGAGGUACUCCUAGGGUAGAGGUGAAAUUCUGUAAUCCUAGGGGGACCAUCAGUGGCGAAGGCGUCUAGCUAGAACGGGUCUGACGGUGAGGGACGAAACCCUGGGGCGCAAACCGGAUUAGAUACCCGGGUAGUCCAGGGCGUAAACGCUGCUUGCUUGAUGUUAGUUGGGCUCCGAGCCCAAUUAGUGUCGGAGAGAAGUUGUUAAGCAAACUGCCUGGGAAGUACGGUCGCAAGGCUGAAACUUAAAGGAAUUGGCGGGGGAGCACAGCAACGGGUGGAGCGUGCGAUUUAAUUGGAUUCAACGCCGG
RNAcentral lists this ribosomal RNA (914 nucleotides) under uncultured archaeon. RNAcentral describes it as "bacterial SSU rRNA". It matches the Rfam family "Archaeal small subunit ribosomal RNA", at positions 1 to 921 of the family's 1478-position model. The record is from RNAcentral.